Molecule: small nuclear RNA, 61 nt
Filed under: Mustela putorius furo (domestic ferret)
Lineage: Eukaryota; Metazoa; Chordata; Mammalia; Carnivora; Mustelidae
Description: U4 spliceosomal RNA
Rfam family: U4 spliceosomal RNA
About the family: U4 small nuclear RNA (U4 snRNA) is a component of the major U2-dependent spliceosome. The structure of U4 snRNA from yeast and human has been reported. U4 snRNA presents a k-turn RNA motif in the 5p-SL related to recognition of Snu13 protein.
Source: Rfam by way of RNAcentral
AGCUUUGCGCAGUGGCAGUAUCGUAGCUAAUGAGGUUUAUCCAAGGCGCGAUUAUUGCUAA